GAUGAACGCUAGCGGGAGGCUUAACACAUGCAAGUCGAGGGGCAGCACGGGGUAGCAAUACUCUGGUGGCGACCGGCGCACGGGUGAGUAACGCGUAUGCAACCUACCCUGUACAGGGGGAUAACCCGGAGAAAUUCGGACUAAUACCCCAUAAAGAUAUGAUGAGGCAUCUUAUUAUAUUUAAAGCUGAGGCGGUACGGGAUGGGCAUGCGUAACAUUAGCUAGUUGGUAGGGUAACGGCCUACCAAGGCUACGAUGUUUAGGGGUCCUGAGAGGGUGAUCCCCCACACUGGUACUGAGACACGGACCAGACUCCUACGGGUGGCUG
Molecule: ribosomal RNA, 328 nt
Filed under: uncultured Bacteroidota bacterium
Lineage: Bacteria; Pseudomonadati; Bacteroidota
Description: bacterial SSU rRNA
Rfam family: Bacterial small subunit ribosomal RNA
Source: RNAcentral